Molecule: unclassified non-coding RNA, 351 nt
Filed under: Hevea brasiliensis (rubber tree)
Lineage: Eukaryota; Viridiplantae; Streptophyta; Magnoliopsida; Malpighiales; Euphorbiaceae
Source: RNAcentral
GGCAAUUUGGAUCAAUGAUGAAGUGUUGCGGCGAGGUGGGUCUACAAUGAAAUGCUAAAUUGAUGUGGGUUUGGCUGAAAGGGAGACGUUUGUAAUGAUCAGCGAAGGCGAAUAUAGUAAGGAAGGGAGAGCAAGGCUAGGAGAGGAGCUUGGUGGGAGUGACCGAAGAGGCCAACCUGUCUGCAAUGAGGCGGGUUUGAUUAAAGGGGCAUUUUGGUAUUAAAAGUUAGUUAUUAUGUUGACUAACUUGAAACUAAUUUGACUAACAGUGAUUUAACUAAAAUUUUAACGGCAAGGACUACUUAGUUGGUUUUUAAAAUGUGAAGUACUAAAUAGGUGAGUUUUAAAAAU